UACCAGCACCCCGAGUGGUCGGGACGAUUAUUGGGCCUAAAGCAUCCGUAGCCGGUCAUGCAAGUCUUCCGUUAAAUCCAGCCGCUCAACGGUUGGGCUGCGGAGGAUACUACGUGGCUAGCAGGCGGGAGAGGCAAGCGGUACUCAGUGGGUAGGGGUAAAAUCCUUUGAUCCAUUGAAGACCACCAGUGGCGAAGGCGGCUUGCCAGAACGCGCUCGACGGUGAGGGAUGAAAGCUGGGGGAGCAAACCGG
Molecule: ribosomal RNA, 253 nt
Filed under: uncultured bacterium
Lineage: Bacteria
Description: partial 16S ribosomal RNA
Rfam family: Archaeal small subunit ribosomal RNA
Source: RNAcentral